RNAcentral lists this ribosomal RNA (476 nucleotides) under uncultured bacterium. RNAcentral describes it as "bacterial SSU rRNA". It matches the Rfam family "Bacterial small subunit ribosomal RNA", at positions 335 to 798 of the family's 1533-position model. The record is from RNAcentral.
ACUCCUACGGGAGGCAGCAGUGGGGAAUAUUGCACAAUGGGCGCAAGCCUGAUGCAGCCAUGCCGCGUGUAUGAAGAAGGCCUUCGGGUUGUAAAGUACUUUCAGCAGUGAGGAAGGUGGGUAUGUUAAUAGCAUACUCAUUUGACGUUAGCUGCAGAAGAAGCACCGGCUAACUCCGUGCCAGCAGCCGCGGUAAUACGGAGGGUGCGAGCGUUAAUCGGAAUUACUGGGCGUAAAGCGCAUGCAGGUGGUUUGUUAAGUCAGAUGUGAAAGCCCGGGGCUCAACCUCGGAAUUGCAUUUGAAACUGGCAAACUAGAGUACUGUAGAGGGGGGGUAGAAUUUCAGGUGUAGAGGUGAAAUGCGUAGAGAUCUGAAGGAAUACCGGUGGCGAAGGCGGCCCCCUGGGACAGGAUACCUGACACUCAGAUGCGAAAGCGUGGGGAGCAAACNGGAUUAGAUACCCUGGUAGGCUCAG